UACGGAGGGAGCAAGCGUUAUUCGGAAUCACUGGGCGUAAAGGGUGUGUAGGCUGUGCGUUAAGUCAGAUGUGAAAGCCCAGGGCUCAACCUUGGAACUGCAUCCGAUACUGGCGUGCUAGAGAAUUGGAGAGGAGACUAGAAUUCACGGUGUAGCAGUGAAAUGCGUAGAUAUCGUGAGGAAUACCAAGUGCGAAGGCAGGACUCUGGACAUUUUCUGACGCUGAGACACGAAGGCUAGGGGAGCAAACGGG
This 253-nucleotide ribosomal RNA is filed under the name uncultured bacterium. RNAcentral describes it as "partial 16S ribosomal RNA". It matches the Rfam family "Bacterial small subunit ribosomal RNA", at positions 524 to 776 of the family's 1533-position model. The record is from RNAcentral.